This 696-nucleotide ribosomal RNA is filed under the name uncultured bacterium. RNAcentral's name for it is "bacterial SSU rRNA". It matches the Rfam family "Bacterial small subunit ribosomal RNA", at positions 32 to 715 of the family's 1533-position model. The record is from RNAcentral.
AACGCUAGCUACAGGCUUAACACAUGCAAGUCGAGGGGAAACGACAUCGAAAGCUUGCUUUUGGUGGGCGUCGACCGGCGCACGGGUGAGUAACGCGUAUCCAACCUGCCCACCACUUGGGGAUAACCUUGCGAAAGUAAGACUAAUACCCAAUGAUAUCCCACGAAGGCAUCGGAAUGGGAUUAAAGAUUUAUCGGUGAUGGAUGGGGAUGCGUCUGAUUAGCUUGUUGGCGGGGUAACGGCCCACCAAGGCUACGAUCAGUAGGGGUUCUGAGAGGAAGGUCCCCCACAUUGGAACUGAGACACGGUCCAAACUCCUACGGGAGGCAGCAGUGAGGAAUAUUGGUCAAUGGGCGAGAGCCUGAACCAGCCAAGUAGCGUGCAGGAUGACGGCCCUAUGGGUUGUAAACUGCUUUUAUAAGGGAAUAAAGUGGGUCUCGUGAGACUUUUUGCAUGUACCUUAUGAAUAAGGACCGGCUAAUUCCGUGCCAGCAGCCGCGGUAAUACGGAAGGUCCGGGCGUUAUCCGGAUUUAUUGGGUUUAAAGGGAGCGUAGGCCGGAGAUUAAGCGUGUUGUGAAAUGUAGUGGCUCAACCUCUGCACUGCAGCGCGAACUGGUCUUCUUGAGUACGCACAACGUGGGCGGAAUUCGUGGUGUAGCGGUGAAAUGCUUGGAUAUCACGAAGAACUCCGAUUG